CCUUGACACCCAGCGAACUUGGCAGAGAUGCCUUGGUGCCUUCGGGAACGCUGAGACAGGUGCUGCAUGGCUGUCGUCAGCUCGUGUUGUGAAAUGUUGGGUUAAGUCCCGNAACGAGCGCAACCCUUAUCCUUUGUUGCCAGCGAUUCGGUCGGGAACUCAAAGGAGACUGCCGGUGAUAAACCGGAGGAAGGUGGGGAUGACGUCAAGUCAUCAUGGCCCUUACGAGUAGGGCUACACACGUGCUACAAUGGCGCAUACAAAGAGAAGCGACCUCGCGAGAGCAAGCGGACCUCAUAAAGUGCGUCGUAGUCCGGAUCGGAGUCUGCAACUCGACUCCGUGAAGUCGGAAUCGCUAGUAAUCGUGGAUCAGAAUGCCACGGUGAAUACGUUCCCGGGCCUUGUACACACCGCCCGUCACACCAUGGGAGUGGGUUGCAAAAGAAGUAGGUAGCUUAACCUCCGGGAGGGCGCUUACCACUUUGUGAUUCAUGACUGGGGUGAAGUCGUAACAAGGUAGGCGUAGCGAG
RNAcentral lists this ribosomal RNA (530 nucleotides) under uncultured bacterium. RNAcentral's name for it is "bacterial SSU rRNA". It matches the Rfam family "Bacterial small subunit ribosomal RNA", at positions 979 to 1509 of the family's 1533-position model. The record is from RNAcentral.